This 740-nucleotide ribosomal RNA is filed under the name uncultured Chloroflexota bacterium. RNAcentral describes it as "bacterial SSU rRNA". It matches the Rfam family "Bacterial small subunit ribosomal RNA", at positions 88 to 844 of the family's 1533-position model. The record is from RNAcentral. Lineage: Bacteria; Bacillati; Chloroflexota.
UAUCUUAGUGGCGAACGGGUGAGUAACGCGUUGGUGACCUACCCCAGAGAGGGGGAUAACAGUUCGAAAGGACUGCUAAUACCCCAUGUGGUCAUGGUAGUUAGAGAGCCAUGACUAAAGGUGCAAACCGCUCUGGGAGGGGCCUGCGUCCCAUCAGCUAGUUGGUAGGGUAACGGCCUACCAAGGCGACGACGGGUAGGGGGCCUGAGAGGGUGAUCCCCCACACUGGCACUGAAACACGGGCCAGACACCUACGGGUGGCAGCAGUAGGGAAUAUUGCACAAUGGGCGAAAGCCUGAUGCAGCAACGCCGCGUGUGCGAUGAAGGCCUUCGGGUCGUAAAGCACUUUUCGAGGAGAUGAGGAAGGACAGUAUCCUCGGAAUAAGGAUCGGCUAACUACGUGCCAGCAGCCGCGGUAAAACGUAGGAUCCGAGCGUUAUCCGAAUUCAUUGGGCGUAAAGCGCGUGCAGGCGGUCCGGUAAGUUGGAUGUGAAAUCACCCGGCUCAACUGGGAGAGGUCGUUCAAUACUGUCGGACUCGAGGACGGUAGAGGGAGGUGGAAUUCCCGGUGUAGUGGUGAAAUGCGUAGAUAUCGGGAGGAACACCAGUGGCGAAGGCGGCCUCCUGGACCGUUCCUGACGCUCAGACGCGAAAGCUAGGGGAGCAAACGGGAUUAGAAACCCCGGUAGUCCUAGCCGUAAACUAUGUAGACUUGGUGUCGGUGGUGUAAAACCAUCGGU